UACGUAGGGUGCGAGCGUUAAUCGGAAUUACUGGGCGUAAAGCGUGCGCAGGCGGUUCGUUGUGUCUGAUGUGAAAGCCCCGGGCUUAACCUGGGAAUGGCAUUGGAAACUGGCGAGCUGGAGUGUGGCAGAGGGGGGUGGAAUUCCGCGUGUAGCAGUGAAAUGCGUAGAGAUGCGGAGGAACACCGAUGGCGAAGGCAGCCCCCUGGGCCAACACUGACGCUCAGGCACGAAAGCCAGGGGAGCGAACGGG
Molecule: ribosomal RNA, 253 nt
Filed under: uncultured bacterium
Lineage: Bacteria
Description: partial 16S ribosomal RNA
Rfam family: Bacterial small subunit ribosomal RNA
Source: RNAcentral